CAGGAAGAAAGCUUGCUUUCUUUGCUGGCGACCGGCGCACGGGUGAGUAACACGUAUCCAACCUGCCCUUUACUCGGGGAUAGCCUUUCGAAAGAAAGAUUAAUACCCGAUAGCAUAAUGAUUCCGCAUGGUUUCAUUAUUAAAGGAUUCCGGUAAAGGAUGGGGAUGCGUUCCAUUAGGUUGUUGGUGAGGUAACGGCCCACCAAGCCUUCGAUGGAUAGGGGUUCUGAGAGGAAGGUCCCCCACAUUGGAACUGAGACACGGUCCAAACUCCUACGGGAGGCAGCAGUGAGGAAUAUUGGUCAAUGGGCGUUAGCCUGAACCAGCCAAGUAGCGUGAAGGAUGAAGGCUCUAUGGGUCGUAAACUUCUUUUAUAUAAGAAUAAAGUGCAGUAUGUAUACUGUUUUGUAUGUAUUAUAUGAAUAAGGAUCGGCUAACUCCGUGCCAGCAGCCGCGGUAAUACGGAGGAUCCGAGCGUUAUCCGGAUUUAUUGGGUUUAAAGGGAGCGUAGGUGGACUGGUAAGUCAGUUGUGAAAGUUUGCGGCUCAACCGUAAAAUUGCAGUUGAUACUGUCAGUCUUGAGUACAGUAGAGGUGGGCGGAAUUCGUGGUGUAG
This 615-nucleotide ribosomal RNA is filed under the name uncultured Bacteroidales bacterium. RNAcentral describes it as "bacterial SSU rRNA". It matches the Rfam family "Bacterial small subunit ribosomal RNA", at positions 70 to 678 of the family's 1533-position model. The record is from RNAcentral. Lineage: Bacteria; Pseudomonadati; Bacteroidota; Bacteroidia; Bacteroidales.